Molecule: transfer RNA, 92 nt
Filed under: Paractinoplanes tereljensis
Lineage: Bacteria; Bacillati; Actinomycetota; Actinomycetes; Micromonosporales; Micromonosporaceae
Description: Actinoplanes tereljensis tRNA-Gly
Source: RNAcentral
GCAGUCCUGGGCCAGGCGGGCCGCUGGGCCGCCGAUCGAGCCCAGGUAGAAGCCGCCGUAGGACUGGCAUGCUCGGGUCACCUGGGCUGAGC